AUGCUCCUUGGAUGUGAUUUAGUGUUGGCAGAAACCGGGCACCUCUCCUAGCACAGCCCGGUUGUUGAACCCCGAACCUCCCUCCCCUAUGAAGUUCGGGGUUUUUUUUAUUCCUGCGG
This 119-nucleotide small RNA is filed under the name Halopseudomonas formosensis. RNAcentral's name for it is "Pseudomonas formosensis Pseudomon-1 RNA". It matches the Rfam family "Pseudomon-1/ErsA RNA". Rfam says of the family: Functions to regulate the AlgC enzyme. Based on this information, the new name ErsA for the RNA was adopted. Lineage: Bacteria; Pseudomonadati; Pseudomonadota; Gammaproteobacteria; Pseudomonadales; Pseudomonadaceae. The record is from RNAcentral.